AGCCCAGAGCCUGAAUCAGUGUGUGUGUUAGUGGAAGCGUCUGGAAAGGCGCGCGAUACAGGGUGACAGCCCCGUACACAAAAAUGCACAUGCUGUGAGCUCGAUGAGUAGGGCGGGACACGUGGUAUCCUGUCUGAAUAUGGGGGGACCAUCCUCCAAGGCUAAAUACUCCUGACUGACCGAUAGUGAACCAGUACCGUGAGGGAAAGGCGAAAAGAACCCCGGCGAGGGGAGUGAAAAAGAACCUGAAACCGUGUACGUACAAGCAGUGGGAGCACAGAGCAAUCUGUGUGACUGCGUACCUUUUGUAUAAUGGGUCAGCGACUUAUAUUCUGUAGCAAGGUUAACCGAAUAGGGGAGCCGAAGGGAAACCGAGUCUUAACUGGGCGUUAAGUUGCAGGGUAUAGACCCGAAACCCGGUGAUCUAGCCAUGGGCAGGUUGAAGGUUGGGUAACACUAACUGGAGGACCGAACCGACUAAUGUUGAAAAAUUAGCGGAUGACUUGUGGCUGGGGGUGAAAGGCCAAUCAAACCGGGAGAUAGCUGGUUCUCCCCGAAAGCUAUUUAGGUAGCGCCUCGUGAAUUCAUCUCCGGGGGUAGAGCACUGUUUCGGCAAGGGGGUCAUCCCGACUUACCAACCCGAUGCAAACUGCGAAUACCGGAGAAUGUUAUCACGGGAGACACACGGCGGGUGCUAACGUCCGUCGUGAAGAGGGAAACAACCCAGACCGCCAGCUAAGGUCCCAAAGUCAUGGUUAAGUGGGAAACGAUGUGGGAAGGCCCAGACAGCCAGGAUGUUGGCUUAGAAGCAGCCAUCAUUUAAAGAAAGCGUAAUAGCUCACUGGUCGAGUCGGCCUGCGCGGAAGAUGUAACGGGGCUAAACCAUGCACCGAAGCUGCGGCAGCGACGCUUAUGCGUUGUUGGGUAGGGGAGCGUUCUGUAAGCCUGUGAAGGUGUGCUGUGAGGCAUGCUGGAGGUAUCAGAAGUGCGAAUGCUGACAUAAGUAACGAUAAAGCGGGUGAAAAGCCCGCUCGCCGGAAGACCAAGGGUUCCUGUCCAACGUUAAUCGGGGCAGGGUGAGUCGACCCCUAAGGCGAGGCCGAAAGGCGUAGUCGAUGGGAAACAGGUUAAUAUUCCUGUACUUGGUGUUACUGCGAAGGGGGGACGGAGAAGGCUAUGUUGGCCGGGCGACGGUUGUCCCGGUUUAAGCGUGUAGGCUGGUUUUCCAGGCAAAUCCGGAAAAUCAAGGCUGAGGCGUGAUGACGAGGCACUACGGUGCUGAAGCAACAAAUGCCCUGCUUCCAGGAAAAGCCUCUAAGCAUCAGGUAACAUCAAAUCGUACCCCAAACCGACACAGGUGGUCAGGUAGAGAAUACCAAGGCGCUUGAGAGAACUCGGGUGAAGGAACUAGGCAAAAUGGUGCCGUAACUUCGGGAGAAGGCACGCUGAUAUGUAGGUGAAGUCCCUCGCGGAUGGAGCUGAAAUCAGUCGAAGAUACCAGCUGGCUGCAACUGUUUAUUAAAAACACAGCACUGUGCAAACACGAAAGUGGACGUAUACGGUGUGACGCCUGCCCGGUGCCGGAAGGUUAAUUGAUGGGGUCAGCGCAAGCGAAGCUCUUGAUCGAAGCCCCGGUAAACGGCGGCCGUAACUAUAACGGUCCUAAGGUAGCGAAAUUCCUUGUCGGGUAAGUUCCGACCUGCACGAAUGGCGUAAUGAUGGCCAGGCUGUCUCCACCCGAGACUCAGUGAAAUUGAACUCGCUGUGAAGAUGCAGUGUACCCGCGGCAAGACGGAAAGACCCCGUGAACCUUUACUAUAGCUUGACACUGAACAUUGAGCCUUGAUGUGUAGGAUAGGUGGGAGGCUU
Molecule: ribosomal RNA, 1869 nt
Filed under: Escherichia coli
Lineage: Bacteria; Pseudomonadati; Pseudomonadota; Gammaproteobacteria; Enterobacterales; Enterobacteriaceae
Description: partial 23S ribosomal RNA
Rfam family: Bacterial large subunit ribosomal RNA
Source: RNAcentral